Molecule: ribosomal RNA, 484 nt
Filed under: uncultured bacterium
Lineage: Bacteria
Description: partial 16S ribosomal RNA
Rfam family: Bacterial small subunit ribosomal RNA
Source: RNAcentral
AUUGAACGCUAGCGGCAUGCUUUACACAUGCAAGUCGAACGGCAGCGCGGACUUCGGUCUGGCGGCGAGUGGCGAACGGGUGAGUAAUGUAUCGGAACGUGCCCAGUAGCGGGGGAUAACUACGCGAAAGCGUAGCUAAUACCGCAUACGCCCUACGGGGGAAAGCAGGGGAUCGUAAGACCUUGCACUAUUGGAUCGGCCGAUAUCGGAUUAGCUAGUUGGUGAGGUAACGGCUCACCAAGGCGACGAUCCGUAGCUGGUUUGAGAGGACGACCAGCCACACUGGGACUGAGACACGGCCCAGACUCCUACGGGAGGCAGCAGUGGGGAAUUUUGGACAAUGGGGGCAACCCUGAUCCAGCCAUCCCGCGUGUGCGAUGAAGGCCUUCGGGUUGUAAAGCACUUUUGGCAGGAAAGAAACGUCGCGGGCUAAUACCCCGUGGAACUGACGGUACCUGCAGAAUAAGCACCGGCUAACUACGUG